This 584-nucleotide ribosomal RNA is filed under the name uncultured bacterium. Its description in RNAcentral is "bacterial SSU rRNA". It matches the Rfam family "Bacterial small subunit ribosomal RNA", at positions 69 to 660 of the family's 1533-position model. The record is from RNAcentral.
AAAGAUUUCUUCGGAAUGAAUUUGAUUAAGUUUAGUGGCGGACGGGUGAGUAACGCGUGAGUAACCUGCCUCUAAGAGGGGAAUAACAUUCUGAAAAGAAUGCUAAUACCGCAUAACAUAUAUUUAUCGCAUGGUAGAUAUAUCAAAGAUUUAUCGCUUAGAGAUGGACUCGCGUCCGAUUAGUUAGUCGGUGAGGUAACGGCUCACCAAGACUGCGAUCGGUAGCCGGACUGAGAGGUUGAACGGCCGCAUUGGGACUGAGACACGGCCCAGACUCCUACGGGAGGCAGCAGUGGGGGAUAUUGCGCAAUGGGGGAAGCCCUGACGCAGCAACGCCGCGUGAAGGAUGAAGGUCUUCGGAUUGUAAACUUCUUUUAUUAAGGACGAAGAAAGUGACGGUACUUAAUGAAUAAGCUCCGGCUAACUACGUGCCAGCAGCCGCGGUAAUACGUAGGGAGCAAGCGUUGUCCGGAUUUACUGGGUGUAAAGGGUGCGUAGGCGGCUUUGCAAGUCAGAUGUGAAAUCUAUGGGCUCAACCCAUAGCCUGCAUUUGAAACUGCAGAGCUUGAGUGAAGUAGAGGCAG